Molecule: long non-coding RNA, 565 nt
Organism: Anopheles aquasalis
Lineage: Eukaryota; Metazoa; Arthropoda; Insecta; Diptera; Culicidae
Source: RefSeq, a predicted model, not a curated record
GCAUCAUUGGGGGAAACAAACUUAAAACUGCUGGCUGAAGCGUACGACGUGCUUGCUAGUAUCGAACUGCGCCUACUGUUUGAUGAAAUCGGCGAGGAAGGCCUGAAACGGGAACCGCAUUGUUACGAGUUCUCUAAAGAUAGUGAGCAACUGUUGAAGGAAACUACAGGAGAAGCUACUACUGUUGAUAGCAGCGCCAUCGUAAGAUAUCCUGGAAGUCCUGGGAUAGGCACCAAAAAACCAACGUUCGUUUUGAGCUCCCCUAUCAAGUUGAUGGUCAACGUGGACCUGCUAGAGUGCUUCUAUGGAUUCAUCAGGAACAUUCAUUACACCAGAGCAGUGGUUCGCAACGGAAUCAUAACCUGGCGCCAUGAGUACGCAACGGUUUGCCUCAAACCCGGUUUACCACACAAAACGAUCGUCGUCCUUCCGGGUGCGGGCCACAUCUACGAAAAUUUUCCUCCCGGUGAGGUUCAUCUUCUCUUCGAGCAGCUGCCGCAUCCACGCUUCAGUCGAUACGAGGCAGAUCUGCAUUUGCAGCAACCGCUUGCACUGGCCGACGUGU